This 720-nucleotide ribosomal RNA is filed under the name Sebacinales sp. SEB1. RNAcentral's name for it is "eukaryotic LSU rRNA". It matches the Rfam family "Eukaryotic large subunit ribosomal RNA", at positions 201 to 905 of the family's 3401-position model. The record is from RNAcentral. Lineage: Eukaryota; Fungi; Basidiomycota; Agaricomycetes; Sebacinales.
CGUCAUAGAGGGUGAGAAUCCCGUAUAUGCCACGGACUACCAAUGCUCUGUGAUACACUCUCAACGAGUCGAGUUGUUUGGGAAUGCAGCUCAAAAUGGGUGGUAAAUUCCAUCUAAAGCUAAAUAUUGGCGAGAGACCGAUAGCGAACAAGUACCGUGAGGGAAAGAUGAAAAGCACUUUGGAAAGAGAGUGAAACAGUACGUGAAAUUGUUGAAAGGGAAGCGUUUGAAGUCAGUCGUAUCUGUCGGAAUUCAGCCUGGCUUCUGCCUGGUGUACUUUCCGUCCGAUGGGUCAGCAUCAAUUUUGACCGAGGGAAAAAGAUGUUCGGAAUGUGGCUGUCUUCGGGCAGUGUUAUAGCCUUGCGUUGUAUGUCUCGGUUGGGAUUGAGGAACGCAGCGCGCCUGUUGGCCGGGGGUUCGCGCCCCUCGGUACGCGCUUAGGAUGCUGGCAUAAUGGCUUUAAGCGACCCGUCUUGAAACACGGACCAAGGAGUCUAACAUGUGCGCAAGUGUUUGGGUGUCAAACCCAAGCGCGAAAUGAAAGUGAAAGGUCGGGAUCCUUCAUUGGUGCACCGACGCCCGGAGCAGACCUUCUGUGACGCAUCCGCGGUAGAGCGUGUAUGUUGGGACCCGAAAGAUGGUGAACUAUGCCUGAAUAGGGUGAAGCCAGAGGAAACUCUGGUGGAGGCUCGUAGCGAUUCUGACGUGCAAAUCGAUCGU